This 503-nucleotide ribosomal RNA is filed under the name uncultured bacterium. RNAcentral describes it as "partial 16S ribosomal RNA". It matches the Rfam family "Bacterial small subunit ribosomal RNA", at positions 30 to 523 of the family's 1533-position model. The record is from RNAcentral.
AUUGAACGCUGGCGGCAGGCUUAACACAUGCAAGUCGAGCGGGGUGAUGGUGCUUGCACUAUCACUUAGCGGCGGACGGGUGAGUAAUGCUUAGGAAUCUGCCUAUUAGUGGGGGACAACAUCUCGAAAGGGAUGCUAAUACCGCAUACGUCCUACGGGAGAAAGCAGGGGAUUACUUGUGACCUUGCGCUAAUAGAUGAGCCUAAGUCGGAUUAGCUAGUUGGUGGGGUAAAGGCCUACCAAGGCGACGAUCUGUAGCGGGUCUGAGAGGAUGAUCCGCCACACUGGGACUGGAACACGGCCCAGACUCCUACGGGAGGCAGCAGUGGGGAAUAUUGGACAAUGGGGGGAACCCUGAUCCAGCCAUGCCGCGUGUGUGAAGAAGGCCUUAUGGUUGUAAAGCACUUUAAGCGAGGAGGAGGCUCUUUUGGUUAAUACCCAAGAUGAGUGGACGUUACUCGCAGAAUAAGCACCGGCUAACUCUGUGCCAGCCGCCGCCGUAA